This 724-nucleotide ribosomal RNA is filed under the name Creaserinus clausus. Its description in RNAcentral is "partial 28S large subunit ribosomal RNA". The stretch from base 279 to 724 matches the Rfam family "Eukaryotic large subunit ribosomal RNA", at positions 665 to 896 of the family's 3401-position model. Lineage: Eukaryota; Metazoa; Arthropoda; Malacostraca; Decapoda; Cambaridae. The record is from RNAcentral.
GCUUGGGCGUGCCUCCACCCACGCCGGCGUCGGCGGGCGUAUUUCGCCUCACAGUAGGUCGCCGCGACCCGUUGCUUUUGGGGACGUCGAAGGCCCGGACGGAUUGGUACCCUACCGGCUGGGGAUGCGGCUUCGGCUUCUCCUCUUGUCCGGUGGGCGAAACCGCCGGUGUCCUGGCUGCCCUGCGACGGUCGUAGAGACGAGCCCUCCCCUUCGGGGGGGCGGCUCUCGCGGCGUGCAAAAGGUCGGUGAUCCACCCGACCCGUCUUGAAACACGGACCAAGGAGUCUAACAUGUGUGCGAGUCAGUGGGCGCACUAAACCCAGAGGCGUAAUGAAAGUGACACGGGUUCGGCUGUCGCCUCGUGUGGCAGCCGGACUCAGGGCCGAUCCCUCACCGGUUGCCCUCGCCUCUCUCCCGCGUCUCGGUAAGCCGGGUGAGCUAUUUUCCCCGGCCGCUGCUGCGGGGCGCGGGGGGAGGCGGGGUGCGAUGGUGUCCGUAAAAAAGAGCCUGCUGUUGCAGGGGGGCGCAGGCCCGGGACUUGCCAGGACGCCGCGAGACUGUCACUUUGCUGUGAGGCUCUCGGGCCGAUCAGCGGGUCAUGCGUGCAGUCGGCAAGUACCAUGAGCAGACAUGUUGGGACCCGAAAGAUGGUGAACUAUGCCUGGCCAGGAUGAAGCCAGAGGAAACUCUGGUGGAGGUCCGUAGCGAUUCUGACGUGCAA